CAAUAGCGUAUAUUUAAGUUGUUGCAGUUAAAAAGCUCGUAGUCGGAUUUUGGCUGAGAACGAACGGUCCGCCGUUAGGUGUGCACUGUUUGGUCUCAGCUUCCUGGUGAGGAGGUGUGCUUCACGGCCACUUAGUCACCGUGGUUACUUUGAAAAAAUUAGAGUGUUCAAAGCGGGCUUACGCUUGAAUAUAUUAGCAUGGAAUAACACCAUAGGACUCCUGUCCUAUUUCGUUGGUCUCGGGACGGGAGUAAUGAUUAAGAGGAACAGUUGGGGGCAUUCGUAUUCCGUUGUCAGAGGUGAAAUUCUUGGAUUUACGGAAGACGAACUACUGCGAAAGCAUUUACCAAGGAUGUUUUCAUUGA
Molecule: ribosomal RNA, 365 nt
Filed under: uncultured eukaryote
Lineage: Eukaryota
Description: partial 18S ribosomal RNA
Rfam family: Eukaryotic small subunit ribosomal RNA
Source: RNAcentral